AACCUGCCUUGGAGAGGGGAAUAACACUCCGAAAGGAGUGCUAAUACCGCAUGAUGCAGUUGAGUCGCAUGGCUCUGACUGCCAAAGAUUUAUCGCUCUGAGAUGGCCUCGCGUCUGAUUAGCUAGUAGGCGGGGUAACGGCCCACCUAGGCGACGAUCAGUAGCCGGACUGAGAGGUUGACCGGCCACAUUGGGACUGAGACACGGCCCAG
This 212-nucleotide ribosomal RNA is filed under the name uncultured bacterium. RNAcentral describes it as "partial 16S ribosomal RNA". It matches the Rfam family "Bacterial small subunit ribosomal RNA", at positions 123 to 334 of the family's 1533-position model. The record is from RNAcentral.